UUAAUUGAGAGCUCUUUCUAGAUUCUAUGGGUGGUGGUGCAUGGCCUUUCUUAGUUGGUGGAAUGAUUUGUCUAGUUAAUUUUGUUAACGAAUGAGACUUCAGCCUACAAACUAGCUAUGCGGAGGUACCCCUCCGUGGCCAGCUUUUUAGAGGGACUACCUCCUUUUAGGCCAUGAAAGUUUGAGGCAAUAAUAGGUCUGUGAUGCCCUUAGAUGUUCUGGGCCACACACGUGCUACACUGAUGUAUUCAACAAGUUUAUAGCCUUGGCCGACAUGUUCGGGUAAUCUUUGAAAUUUCAUUGGGAUGGGGAUAGAUCAUUGCAAUUGUUGGUCUUCAAUGAGGAAUUCCUAGUAAACGUGAGUCAUCAGCUCACGUUGACUAUGUCCCUGCCUUUGUACACAGCACCCGUCGCUCCUACCAAUUGAAUGGUCUAGUGAAGUGUUCAGAUCGCGGUGAUGUGGGCGGUCUACUGCCCAUGACGUCACGAGAAGUCCACUGAACCUUAUCAUUUAGAGGAAGGAAAAGUCGUAACAAGGUUUUCGUAGGUGAACUUGUGGAAG
RNAcentral lists this long non-coding RNA (562 nucleotides) under Olea europaea subsp. europaea. It matches the Rfam family "Eukaryotic small subunit ribosomal RNA", at positions 1244 to 1823 of the family's 1831-position model. Lineage: Eukaryota; Viridiplantae; Streptophyta; Magnoliopsida; Lamiales; Oleaceae. The record is from RNAcentral.